UACAGAGGGUGCAAGCGUUAAUCGGAUUGACUGGGCGUAAAGGGCGCGUAGGCGGUUAUUUAAGUUGGAUGUGAAACCCCCGGGCUUAACCUGGGACGUGCAUACAAGACUGGAUAACUGGAGUACUGUAGAGGGUAGUGGAAUUUCCGGUGUAGCGGUGAAAUGCGUAGAGAUCGGAAGGAACACCAGUGGCGAAGGCGGCUACCUGGACAGAUACUGACGCUGAGGAGCGAAAGCCAGGGGAGCAAACGGG
Molecule: ribosomal RNA, 253 nt
Filed under: uncultured bacterium
Lineage: Bacteria
Description: partial 16S ribosomal RNA
Rfam family: Bacterial small subunit ribosomal RNA
Source: RNAcentral